RNAcentral lists this ribosomal RNA (607 nucleotides) under uncultured Nitrospira sp. RNAcentral's name for it is "bacterial SSU rRNA". It matches the Rfam family "Bacterial small subunit ribosomal RNA", at positions 222 to 827 of the family's 1533-position model. Lineage: Bacteria; Pseudomonadati; Nitrospirota; Nitrospiria; Nitrospirales; Nitrospiraceae. The record is from RNAcentral.
UUGAUGAGCUCAUGUCCUAUCAGCUUGUUGGUAGGGUAACGGCCUACCAAGGCUUUGACGGGUAGCUGGUCUGAGAGGACGAUCAGCCACACUGGCACUGCGACACGGGCCAGACUCCUACGGGAGGCAGCAGUAAGGAAUAUUGCGCAAUGGGCGAAAGCCUGACGCAGCGACGCCGCGUGGGGGAUGAAGGUCUUCGGAUUGUAAACCCCUUUCGGGGGGGAAGAUGGAGCGAGCAAUCGUUCGGACGGUACCUCCAGAAGCAGCCACGGCCAACUUCGUGCCAGCAGCCGCGGUAAUACGAAGGUGGCAAGCGUUGUUCGGAUUCACUGGGCGUACAGGGUGUGUAGGCGGUUUGGUAAGCCUUCUGUUAAAGCUUCGGGCCCAACCCGGAAAGCGCAGAGGGGUACUGCCAGGCUAGAGGGUGGGAGAGGAGCGCGGAAUUCCCCGGUGUAGCGGUGAAAUGCGUAGAGAUCGGGAGGAAGGCCGGUGGCGAAGGCGGCGCUCUGGAACAUACCUGACGCUGAGACACGAAAGCGGGGGGGAGCAAACAGGAUUAUAUACCCGGGUAGUCCCACGCCCUAACUAUGGGAUACUAAGUGUCGGC